This 374-nucleotide ribosomal RNA is filed under the name uncultured organism. RNAcentral's name for it is "partial 16S ribosomal RNA". It matches the Rfam family "Bacterial small subunit ribosomal RNA", at positions 527 to 896 of the family's 1533-position model. The record is from RNAcentral.
GUAGGUGGCAAGCGUUGUCCGGAAUUAUUGGGCGUAAAGCGCGCGCAGGUGGUUCUUUAAGUCUGAUGUGAAAGCCCCCGGCUCAACCGGGGAGGGUCAUUGGAAACUGGGGAACUUGAGUGCAGGAGAGGAAAGUGGAAUUCCACGUGUAGCGGUGAAAUGCGUAGAUAUGUGGAGGAACACCAGUGGCGAAGGCGACUUUCUGGCCUGUAACUGACACCGAGGCGCGAAAGCGUGGGGAGCAAACAGGAUUAGAUACCCUGGUAGUCCACGCCGUAAACGAUGAGUGCUGAGUGUUGGGGGGGUUUCCCGCCCCGUCAGUGCUGCAGCUAACGCAUUAAGCACUCCGCCUGGGGAGUACGGCCGCAAGACUG